This 527-nucleotide ribosomal RNA is filed under the name uncultured bacterium. RNAcentral describes it as "bacterial SSU rRNA". It matches the Rfam family "Bacterial small subunit ribosomal RNA", at positions 8 to 533 of the family's 1533-position model. The record is from RNAcentral.
AGAGUUUGAUCCUGGCUCAGGAUGAACGCUGGCGGCGUGCUUAACACAUGCAAGUCGAACGAAGCAUAUGCGCAGAUUUCUUCGGAUUGAAGCGCGUAUGACUGAGUGGCGGACGGGUGAGUAACGCGUGGGGAACCUGCCUUUCACAGGGGGACAACAGCUGGAAACGGCUGCUAAUACCGCAUAACCCGCUAGGGCCGCAUGGCCUGGACGGAAAAGGAGCAAUCCGGUGAAAGAUGGACCCGCGUCUGAUUAGCUAGUUGGUGAGGUAACGGCCCACCAAGGCGACGAUCAGUAGCCGAACUGAGAGGUUGACCGGCCACAUUGGGACUGAGACACGGCCCAAACUCCUACGGGAGGCAGCAGUGGGGAAUAUUGCACAAUGGGGGAAACCCUGAUGCAGCGACGCCGCGUGAGUGAAGAAGUAUUUCGGUAUGUAAAGCUCUAUCAGCAGGGAAGAAAAUGACGGUACCUGACUAAGAAGCCCCGGCUAACUACGUGCCAGCAGCCGCGGUAAUACGUAGGGG